UGUCUGGGGAUCUGCCCCAUAUAGGGGGAUAACCACUGGAAACGGUGGCUAAUACCCCAUAACGUCUCAAGACCAAAGAGGGGGACCUUCUGGCCUCUCUCUAUCGCAUGAGCCCCCAUGGGAUUAUCUAGUAGGCGGGGUAAUGGCCCACCUAUGCGACAAUCCCUAUCUGGUCUGAGAGGAUGACCACCCCCACUGGAACUGAGACACGGUCCACACUCCCACGGGAGGCGCCAGUGGGGAAUAUUGCGCAAUGGGCGC
RNAcentral lists this ribosomal RNA (261 nucleotides) under Pantoea sp. CB3. Its description in RNAcentral is "partial 16S ribosomal RNA". It matches the Rfam family "Bacterial small subunit ribosomal RNA", at positions 114 to 378 of the family's 1533-position model. The record is from RNAcentral. Lineage: Bacteria; Pseudomonadati; Pseudomonadota; Gammaproteobacteria; Enterobacterales; Erwiniaceae.